Molecule: microRNA, 22 nt
Filed under: Ixodes ricinus (castor bean tick)
Lineage: Eukaryota; Metazoa; Arthropoda; Arachnida; Ixodida; Ixodidae
Description: iri-miR-X16-5p
Source: RNAcentral
UGAGGACCCGAAACACACUUGU